CCCGACUGGCUCCACCACUGGCAAACCUGCGAGUCCUUUCGCAUCGGACGUAUCUUUUAAGGUGCGGAUGGUUCGAGGAAAAGCUUUUUGGGUCUGUAGCUCAGGUGGUUAGAGCGCGCCCCUGAUAAGGGCGAGGUCGGUGGUUCGAGUCCUCCUAGACCCACCAUUUCUGGAUGUUUGAUUGCGCAUACGACUUUUGAAGAUUUUGAACGCAGGCGUUGAGGCCGGUGUUCUGCUCUUUUAUAACUUGCAAUGUAGCGAGCGUUUUAGAUGAUCAUCUGAACGUGUCGUUGAGGCUAAGGCGGGGACUACGAGUCCCUAAGAAAUUGAGUGGUUAUAUUCGUGUUCCAGGCUUUGUACCCCUGCAACAUGACAUAUAAGCCCGAAGGCCACUUGGGGUUAUAUGGUCAAGCGAAU
Molecule: unclassified non-coding RNA, 417 nt
Filed under: sugarcane isolate CA1
Lineage: Bacteria; Pseudomonadati; Pseudomonadota; Gammaproteobacteria; Lysobacterales; Lysobacteraceae
Description: partial intergenic spacer
Rfam family: tRNA (bases 90-163)
Source: RNAcentral